UACCAGCACCCCGAGUGGUCGGGACGUUUAUUGGGCCUAAAGCAUCCGUAGCCGGUUCUACAAGUCUUCCGUUAAAUCCACCUGCUUAACAGAUGGGCUGCGGAAGAUACUAUAGAGCUAGGAGGCGGGAGAGGCAAGCGGUACUCGAUGGGUAGGGGUAAAAUCCGUUGAUCCAUUGAAGAACACCGGUGGCGAAGGCGGCAUCCUGGACCGAGAUUGACACUGAUGAGCGAAAGCUAGGGGAGCAAACGGG
This 253-nucleotide ribosomal RNA is filed under the name uncultured bacterium. RNAcentral describes it as "partial 16S ribosomal RNA". It matches the Rfam family "Archaeal small subunit ribosomal RNA", at positions 474 to 727 of the family's 1478-position model. The record is from RNAcentral.